This 253-nucleotide ribosomal RNA is filed under the name uncultured bacterium. Its description in RNAcentral is "partial 16S ribosomal RNA". It matches the Rfam family "Bacterial small subunit ribosomal RNA", at positions 524 to 776 of the family's 1533-position model. The record is from RNAcentral.
UACGAAGGGAGCUAGCGUUGUUCGGAAUUACUGGGCGUAAAGCGCGCGUAGGUGGUCAUACAAGUCAGGGGUGAAAUCCCACGGCUCAACCGUGGAACUGCCUUUGAAACUGUAUGGCUAGAGUUCGGAAGAGGAGAGUGGAAUUCCUAAUGUAGAGGUGAAAUUCGUAGAUAUUAGGAGGAACACCAGUGGCGAAGGCGGCUCUCUGGUCCGACACUGACACUGAGGCGCGAAAGCGUGGGUAGCAAACAGG